AGUCUUUCCCAUAUAGAUUCGGGGAUAAGUGUAAAAACGGCUGAAGACUGCUUACGACAUUGUUCUGACUAUGUAACUGCUACACACUUUGUCAUUAAGGACUCUACCUGCUAUUGCCUUUCUUAUGAACCUACAAUCAAUGGUGAUAUAAAUGACUGCAGGAUGCAAUGUACAAACGCCAGCUACUCUCCUUGUAGCUCAGGUCGGUCAGCCAUGGUUUUUACAUUUGUUGAAGUUUUAAGCACGAACCCAACAAAGAAGUACAUAGAAAACGAGUGUCUUGCAACAACCAAAGACAAAAGCAAGUUUGUUGUCAGUGACUGCAAUGAAAACUAUUUAUAUGGAUGUAACA
Molecule: long non-coding RNA, 352 nt
Organism: Mytilus trossulus (common blue mussel)
Lineage: Eukaryota; Metazoa; Mollusca; Bivalvia; Mytilida; Mytilidae
Exons: 3
Source: RefSeq, a predicted model, not a curated record